This 305-nucleotide ribosomal RNA is filed under the name uncultured bacterium. Its description in RNAcentral is "bacterial SSU rRNA". It matches the Rfam family "Bacterial small subunit ribosomal RNA", at positions 332 to 655 of the family's 1533-position model. The record is from RNAcentral.
UUAACCUACGGGAGGCAGCAGUGGGGAAUAUUGCACAAUGGGGGAAACCCUGAUGCAGCAACGCCGCGUGAAGGAAGACGGUUUUCGGAUUGUAAACUUCUGUUCUUAGUGAAGAAGAAUGACGGUAGCUAAGGAGCAAGCCACGGCUAACUACGUGCCAGCAGCCGCGGUAAUACGUAGGUGGCAAGCGUUGUCCGGAAUUACUGGGUGUAAAGGGAGCGCAGGCGGGAAGCCAAGUCAGCUGGGAAAACUACGGGCUUAACUCGUAGACUGAAGUUGAAACUGGUUUUCUUGGGUGAAGUAGG